AGCAGCCGCGGUAAUUCCAGCUCCAAUAGCGUAUAUUAAAGUUGUUGCAGAUUAAAAAGCUCGUAGUUGAACUUCGGGGUCUACCCAUUGGUCAGGCUUAAUUGUCUGCACUGGUGAGAUGGAUCUCUACCUUCUGAGGAACUUUCAUGCCAUUUAUUUGGUGUGGUUGGAAAUCAGGACUGUUACUUUGAAAAAAUUAGGUGUUUAAAAGCAGACUAUCAGUCUGAAUACAUUAGCAUGGAAUAAUGAAAUAGGACGGACUGAUUCUAUUUCGUUGGUUUCUAGGAUCACCGUAAUGAUUAAUAGGGAUAGUUGGGGGCAUUAGUGAUUCAAUUGUCAGAGGUGAGAUUCUUGGAUUUAUUGAAGACUAACUACUGCGAAAGCAUUUGCCAAGGAUGUUUUCAUUAAUCAAUGAACGAAAGUUAGGGGAUCGAAGAACGUAUCAGGAUACCGUCGUAGUCUUAACCAUAAACUAUGCCGACUAGGGAUCGGACGAAGUUAAUUUU
RNAcentral lists this unclassified non-coding RNA (506 nucleotides) under uncultured Diversispora. RNAcentral describes it as "SSU rRNA". It matches the Rfam family "Eukaryotic small subunit ribosomal RNA", at positions 569 to 1070 of the family's 1831-position model. Lineage: Eukaryota; Fungi; Glomeromycota; Glomeromycetes; Diversisporales; Diversisporaceae. The record is from RNAcentral.